Fukomys damarensis (Damara mole-rat) is the source of this 554-nucleotide long non-coding RNA. The record is from Ensembl. Lineage: Eukaryota; Metazoa; Chordata; Mammalia; Rodentia; Bathyergidae.
GGCGGAAGAGGAGACAGGGCGACUUCCGGUGGUGCGGGCUGGGUUCUAAGCGGUGUGGCUCUUCGCCAGGGACAGGCCCUGAGGUAGAGCCGGGCUGGACGGUGACUGGGGUUUGGAGGGUGUGGCUGUGCUUCUGGGCUCUGCCCACCUCGGUGCCUGGUGCCUCUGCAGCAGGAUAAAACCCAUGUUUCUUAGUGUCCGGAGAACUCUCCAGAAUGUGGCCUAGGCCUGUGUUUCCAGUUUCUCCACCAUGGUCCCCCGGUGCCCACGCCUGGGGCUCCAUCCACCUGCCAUGCCAGCUCCAGACCUUCCUGCUAAAACACUGCUCUCUUCACAGAGCAUGGUGAAGCAUUUCAUUAACAGACACCGCAGUUAUUUGGCCCUUCUCUGCCUGCCUUGUUAAAGAACAUGGGCUGGAACUGGAAGAAUUGGAGAUCAACUCUUGCCAGCUUGGCCACCUUUCCAUCCACUUCAAUAAGACACAGUGUUUACAAUAUUGAGCAAAACGCCUGCCACUUACUUAAUAGUUAAUAAAUGUUACUUCUUAGUUUCCU